Molecule: ribosomal RNA, 253 nt
Filed under: uncultured bacterium
Lineage: Bacteria
Description: partial 16S ribosomal RNA
Rfam family: Bacterial small subunit ribosomal RNA
Source: RNAcentral
UACGUAGGGGGCUAGCGUUGUCCGGAUUUAUUGGGCGUAAAGAGCUCGUAGGCGGCUUGUCACGUCGAUUGUGAAAGCCCGAGGCUUAACCUCGGGUCUGCAGUCGAUACGGGCUAGCUAGAGUGUGGUAGGGGAGAUCGGAAUUCCUGGUGUAGCGGUGAAAUGCGCAGAUAUCAGGAGGAACACCGGUGGCGAAGGCGGAUCUCUGGGCCAUUACUGACGCUGAGGAGCGAAAGCGUGGGGAGCGAACAGG